RNAcentral lists this ribosomal RNA (219 nucleotides) under uncultured bacterium. RNAcentral describes it as "partial 16S ribosomal RNA". It matches the Rfam family "Bacterial small subunit ribosomal RNA", at positions 1283 to 1500 of the family's 1533-position model. The record is from RNAcentral.
CGUUCUCAGUUCGGAUCGGAGUCUGCAACCCGACUCCGUGAAGCUGGAUUCGCUAGUAAUCGCGCAUCAGCCAUGGCGCGGUGAAUACGUUCCCGGGCCUUGUACACACCGCCCGUCACACCAUGGGAGUCAGUAACGCCCGAAGCCGGUGACCCAACCGAAAGGAGGGAGCCGUCGAAGGUGGGACCGAUAACUGGGGUGAAGUCGUAACAAGGUAUC